RNAcentral lists this transfer RNA (90 nucleotides) under Fidelibacterota bacterium. Its description in RNAcentral is "Candidatus Marinimicrobia bacterium tRNA-Ser". It matches the Rfam family "tRNA". From Rfam's summary of the family: Transfer RNA (tRNA) molecules are approximately 80 nucleotides in length. Their secondary structure includes four short double-helical elements and three loops (D, anti-codon, and T loops). The record is from RNAcentral. Lineage: Bacteria; Pseudomonadati; Fidelibacterota.
GGAGAGGUGGCAGAGCGGCUUAAUGCAACGGUUUGCUAAAUCGUCGUAGUGCUUAAAGCGCUACCGGGGGUUCGAAUCCCCCCCUCUCCG